Molecule: long non-coding RNA, 546 nt
Filed under: Triticum aestivum (bread wheat)
Lineage: Eukaryota; Viridiplantae; Streptophyta; Magnoliopsida; Poales; Poaceae
Description: long non-coding RNA (TAES_LNC000871)
Source: RNAcentral
CACACAAAGCAACAUUCAUAUUCCCCCUCCAGCACAAGAGUUCUUCCUCUUCCAAGGAACCCAACAAAACACACAGAGUAAGAGAUGAACAUCCACUAGAGAAGCCAGUACGGGCCCAGAUGGACAGAGGCGUCCUGCUGAUGAUCUUGCUGGCGGCGGCGGCGAUGCUCCUGUGCCUCCCGUUGGUGCUGCCCCCGCUGCCGCCGCCGCCGGCCUUCCUGCUCUUCGUCCCUGUGGUGAUGAUGCUCCUGCUCUUCUCCCUGGCUCUCCUCCCCUCCACAAACUGCGAGUGCCCGUCUCAGUAUCAGUAGGAGAGAAUACACAAAGAGAGGUAUCUCCUGCUUGCUCUCAACCUUUUUAUUCUUGUCUAUGUACCCAUGCGGCUUCUCCUCGCUUUUAUUGGAUAUAACUCGAUAUAUGACAUGCUACCACACAACAUACAACAGUCAGGUCAGGUGGCUCUCAGGAGAACUUCUGCUCUGCCUUUCAAGCCCAGGCAUGCUUAUGUAGAAUACGAAGCAAUGCAUGCUAAUUAGCUAGUCAUUC